Molecule: transfer RNA, 72 nt
Filed under: Bos taurus (domestic cattle)
Lineage: Eukaryota; Metazoa; Chordata; Mammalia; Artiodactyla; Bovidae
Also listed under: 5 other names
Rfam family: tRNA
About the family: Transfer RNA (tRNA) molecules are approximately 80 nucleotides in length.
Source: Rfam by way of RNAcentral
UCCCUGGUGGCUCAGAUGGUAAAGAAUCUGCCUGCAAUGCAGGAGAUCUGGGUUGGAUCCCCGGGUUGGGAA